RNAcentral lists this small nuclear RNA (70 nucleotides) under Pongo abelii (Sumatran orangutan). Lineage: Eukaryota; Metazoa; Chordata; Mammalia; Primates; Hominidae. The record is from RNAcentral.
AAGGAGCUUGCUCCGUCCACUCCAAGCAUUGACCUGGUAUUGCACUGCCUGCAGGAACGGUGCACGCCUU